This 66-nucleotide transfer RNA is filed under the name mouse gut metagenome. It matches the Rfam family "tRNA". From Rfam's summary of the family: Transfer RNA (tRNA) molecules are approximately 80 nucleotides in length. RNAcentral also lists the same sequence under 1 other name. The record is from RNAcentral.
UUUGUAGCUCAGUUGGUAGAGCAGAGGACUGAAAAUCCUCGUGUCGUUGGUUCGAUUCCGACCGGA